This 435-nucleotide ribosomal RNA is filed under the name uncultured bacterium. RNAcentral's name for it is "bacterial SSU rRNA". It matches the Rfam family "Bacterial small subunit ribosomal RNA", at positions 29 to 507 of the family's 1533-position model. The record is from RNAcentral.
AACGAACGCUGGCGGCAGGCUUAACACAUGCAAGUCGAACGGUUGUAGCAAUACAGCAGUGGCAGACGGGUGAGUAACGCGUGGGAACGUACCUUUUGGUUCGGAACAACACAGGGAAACUUGUGCUAAUACCGGAUAAGCCCUUACGGGGAAAGAUUUAUCGCCGAAAGAUCGGCCCGCGUCUGAUUAGCUAGUUGGUGAGGUAACGGCUCACCAAGGCGACGAUCAGUAGCUGGUCUGAGAGGAUGAUCAGCCACAUUGGGACUGAGACACGGCCCAAACUCCUACGGGAGGCAGCAGUGGGGAAUAUUGGACAAUGGGCGCAAGCCUGAUCCAGCCAUGCCGCGUGAGUGAUGAAGGCCCUAGGGUUGUAAAGCUCUUUUGUGCGGGAAGAUAAUGACGGUACCGCAAGAAUAAGCCCCGGCUAACUUCGUG